RNAcentral lists this ribosomal RNA (291 nucleotides) under uncultured Finegoldia sp. RNAcentral describes it as "partial 16S ribosomal RNA". It matches the Rfam family "Bacterial small subunit ribosomal RNA", at positions 505 to 796 of the family's 1533-position model. The record is from RNAcentral. Lineage: Bacteria; Bacillati; Bacillota; Tissierellia; Tissierellales; Peptoniphilaceae.
GUGUCAGCCGCCGCGGUAAUACGUAUGGAGCGAGCGUUGUCCGGAAUUAUUGGGCGUAAAGGGUACGCAGGCGGUUUAAUAAGUCGAAUGUUAAAGAUCGGGGCUCAACCCCGUAAAGCAUUGGAAACUGAUAAACUUGAGUAGUGGAGAGGAAAGUGGAAUUCCUAGUGUAGUGGUGAAAUACGUAGAUAUUAGGAGGAAUACCAGUAGCGAAGGCGACUUUCUGGACACAAACUGACGCUGAGGUACGAAAGCGUGGGGAGCAAACAGGAUUAGAAACCCCCGUAGUCC